AUAAAUACUACAAUUUCACAGGUUUCAAAAUGCAUUCAUAGUUAAUAUUUCAUGUUUAUUUUUAUCACCUUAUUAAUGAAAUUUUAUUGUUUAAUUAACUUACCUUAUUAAUUGAAGAUAAGUUAAUAGAUAAUAGUAAAUUUUUAACUAAUUUUUAAUGCAAUUGAAAAAAAAAUAUAUUUAACCUAAAUGAGUUAAAAAUAUCAUUAACUUGCCCGGCCUUGAUAAAAACCAAGUUAGACUUGAAAAAAAAAUGUCAAAUAUUUUGCGUAUUGUAAUCCAAUGUAUUUAUCAUGCAAUUCAUGGCAUAAAUAAAUAUUCCACGGGUUUAUUGAUACAAUUAUUUAUUCUCUAUGGUAGGCAAGCUUUCCAUUCACUGACAGAGUAAAUCUAUAGUCUUUUAUAUGAAUAUGAACGAAAUAAUAAUAAUAUUAUGUUGUGUAAUAUUUCAUCCAUUUUAGUUUUUAAUAUUUUAAUUAUGUUUUCAACGUGUAUACGAUUCGUAAAAUAGAUUAAAUAAAAUGUAUAUUAUCGAUAUAUUAUUAUUAUGUUUAUUUUACAUUUCCGUAAUAUAAAUUCAUCUGUAACUAUCUACAUCCAGGAUUUUGGCUUGUACAUUUUAGUUUUAACAAUAUAUUAUUUAGAAUAAAAACAAAUAACGGAUGUAGUUAAAAAAAUAAUUCAAGAAAUUCACUAGACUAAACAGAUUUAUGAUACUGAUUACGAUUUAUCGCCAAUAUCAUACGAAACAUUUAAAAACAAUUUACAGAAUUUUCGGUUUACUUAACCAGUUUAAAUUUCCCCUUAAAAAUAAGUAUGAUAAUUAAUUGUAUAAUAUUUUAAUUUCCUAAAAAUCUUGCGGGAAAAAUCGAGAUGUUUUACCGUACGUGUAAAUUGAUAUCUUAAAAUAUUUUAUCGAAGGAAAUAAGGGGAAAAAAUCAGAUUUUUGGUGGGAUCAAAUCAGGGUUUGCUACAGGAACAGCUAUCGACUACAUCUUUACGCAGGUCGAAAAAAUUAAAACUUGAUUUGUCAUAGAUAUUAUUUUUAAAUCGGUUUACUCUAGUGAAUUUUUUGAUAACGUUUGAUGUAUAAUAUUCCCCAAGGAAUAUAAUAAAUUAUUUAUCUUUAAAAAAAUAUAAGAACAUUUUAAUCAUUUGUUUAUAAUGUAAAUUUUAAUAUCGAGAAAGAAAAUGUUAAGUUUAUAUAUCUAAUAUUAAUAAUAUGUCUGUUAAUAUUAAUUUAAUUAUUAUUAUUAUUAUAAUGUUCGAUAUUCCUAAAAAAAGUUUGUUUGGUUUUCCGU
This is a non-coding RNA of Cinara cedri, 1301 nucleotides long. NCBI's taxonomy places the organism in Eukaryota, Metazoa, Arthropoda, Insecta, Hemiptera, Aphididae. The record is from the annotation of a GenBank genome assembly.